This 630-nucleotide ribosomal RNA is filed under the name uncultured bacterium. RNAcentral's name for it is "bacterial SSU rRNA". The stretch from base 1 to 543 matches the Rfam family "Bacterial small subunit ribosomal RNA", at positions 338 to 873 of the family's 1533-position model. The record is from RNAcentral.
CCUACGGGAGGCAGCAGUGGGGAAUUUUGGACAAUGGGGGCAACCCUGAUCCAGCCAUUCCGCGUGAGUGAAGAAGGCCUUCGGGUUGUAAAGCUCUUUCGCAAGGGAAGAAAACUUAUGAUCGAAUAAAUCAUGAGGUUGACGGUACCUUGAUAAGAAGCACCGGCUAACUACGUGCCGGCAGCCGCGGUAAUACGUAGGGUGCGAGCGUUAAUCGGAAUUACUGGGCGUAAAGCGUGCGCAGGCGGUUUUGUAAGUCGGAUGUGAAAUCCCCGGGCUCAACCUGGGAACUGCGUUCGAAACUGCAAGGCUAGAGUGUGUCAGAGGGGGGUAGAAUUCCACGUGUAGCAGUGAAAUGCGUAGAGAUGUGGAGGAAUACCAAUGGCGAAGGCAGCCCCCUGGGAUAACACUGACGCUCAUGCACGAAAGCGUGGGGAGCAAACAGGAUUAGAUACCCUGGUAGUCCACGCCCUAAACGAUGUCAACUAGUUGUUGGUAGAGUAAAAUCUAUGAGUAACGUAGNUACGACGUGAGUAGUACGCCGCGGAGGUACGGUCGGCGAGAAGUUAAAACGUUAAAAGUAAAGUUAGUAGGACGUGAGACGUGCGACGACGACGACGAGGGAGGAGG